UGGGCGGGAAGCCGCUGCUGAGGUCCUGAGACCGCGCAAGUUUGGGCUUCUGAAGGGCGGCGGGCAUUAAAUUCCACUUCCUGCGCACUGACAAGUGCUUUAUUGGCUAAUUUUCCUAACAGAGCGUUGUAAACCAAGGCCGGGGUGUCCCCCUGAGUGGUCUGGCUGGGGCCCGUGCGGCCUCGACCCCCUCUGGUCGGCGCUAGCCCUGCCCCCGCCCUAGCCUCCCUCAGCUUCGCAAGGCGAACUCCUCAGGCUGGGCCAGGGCCUGGGCUCCGAGGGAAGGGGGCCGCCUUCCCCUGCCCUGUGCAGUCCAGGAUCUGGGGUUCGUUCACAGGGCGCUUGGAUGGGGUCGCGUUAAGUGCCGUGAUUGCGAGGCUGCCUGUGUCCCCCGCAGCACUUGGCUCUGAGAGAUGCUGGCCCGGCCUUUGGCCUCCUGCCCAGGCAACCUCCCGGCCUGGCUACGCCGCCCGCCGACAGACACGAGGAAUCCAGCCCUUAUUGGCCUCCCACAGAGAUGGGACUGCCAAGGCAUUGCUCAGCUGGCCAGUAAGAGGAUCUGAACCCUUGACCUUGGUGUUAUCAGUACCAUACUCUCCCAAGAAAGCUAACUGGUCACCUGCUCUUGUUCAGUUUCUGACAAAAGAGAUCUUUCAGGGCCAACAGUCACUCUGGAAAAAGUGAAGCCACCUCUCUGCCUUGGAUGACAGAGCCUUAGCAACCACAGUAAUUCAUGCUGGAGUAGAGACCUUUGAGUGCCUUGUACCAAGUAUCUGGAAUGAGAUGCUCUGCCUAGCAAGAUAUUCUGCCCUCAGAAACAAGGAAGGGAUUGAUCGGAGGUACAGGCCUGACGGAAGUGGAGUCACUGCAGCUCCAGAGUCAAAUCCUUGGUUUUGACAGUAAUCAUGGACUCACAGAGCCCCCUGAGAUUCUCCAGACUAAGGCUCCUUAACUUUUGUUCGGUAACUGACCCACUUGAGAAUCUGAUGAAAGCACACAAUUUCAGACUCCCUGGAACCCAUCAUAACCCUUCUGGGGCAGUAGUUCCCAGUGAGAAAGACACAGGAAGAUGGCCAUCUGCAAACCAGGACAUGGGCCCUCAACAGAACUGAAUCUUCCGGUGCCUUGAUCUUAGACUUCCCAGCCUCCAGAACCAUAAAAAAUAAAUGUUAAGCCAUUCA
Long non-coding RNA from Cynocephalus volans (Philippine flying lemur), 1181 nucleotides. RefSeq lists it as uncharacterized. The transcript has 4 exons. NCBI's taxonomy places the organism in Eukaryota, Metazoa, Chordata, Mammalia, Dermoptera, Cynocephalidae. The record is from RefSeq and is a predicted model, not a curated record.